GGGGAGAAGGCCGAGGCGCACAUUUUCGGGGACAACAUGAUAAGGAUCCUCAGUGGGGCCUGACACAGAGUAGCUACUCAAUGAAUAUUUGCUGACUGAAGCACAGGAGAGGGAGGACAGAAGCAGAGAGAAGGAGAAACUCUUUAAGACUGGGAAAGAAUGGUGGUCUUUCAUUUGUUCUUCACGUAGCAGAGGCCCAUGCUCGGCUCCCUUGAAGCACCCUGGGGAAGAACUUGGAGAGGAAUGACUGUGUGGUGCCCCUGGAGAGACUGGACUUGAGACUCUGGGCCUUUCAGCCCUGGCAAAGAGUUCUGUGCAGGCCUGGCAGGAGUCAGCAGAGCUGUCUGAACGUAAGCGAGUAUGAGAGCUCAGACAAUGAGCACAUAGAUGGU
Hippopotamus amphibius kiboko is the source of this 392-nucleotide long non-coding RNA. RefSeq lists it as uncharacterized. The record is from RefSeq and is a predicted model, not a curated record. Lineage: Eukaryota; Metazoa; Chordata; Mammalia; Artiodactyla; Hippopotamidae. The transcript is spliced from 3 exons.